GGAUGUGAGGGCGAUCUGGCAGCGACAUCUGUCGCCCCAUUGAUCGCCAGGGUUGAAUCGGCUGAUCUGGCUGGCCGGGCGGGUGUCCUCUUUCUCCCUCAACGCUCUAAGUGCGUCCCUCCCGAAGCUGCGCGCUCGGUCGAGGAGGACGACCACUCCCGACCUAGGAGGAUCGGUCCUCGGUCAAGGGUGUAUGAGUAGAUGCGCUCCCCUGCUAGAACCUCCAAACAAGCUCUAAAAGCACCUGCCGCCGACAGUGUCUGAGCUUAGUGAAUAGACCACUGAAGUCCCUUGGAGUUAGCGUAUGGCACCGAGG
This 316-nucleotide small nuclear RNA is filed under the name Chinchilla lanigera (long-tailed chinchilla). Its description in RNAcentral is "7SK RNA (ENSCLAG00000021614.1)". It matches the Rfam family "7SK RNA". From Rfam's summary of the family: 7SK was discovered as an abundant small nuclear RNA in the mid-70s but a possible function has only recently been suggested. Two independent studies have found that 7SK RNA binds the CDK9/cyclin T complex (known as elongation factor P-TEFb). The record is from Rfam by way of RNAcentral. Lineage: Eukaryota; Metazoa; Chordata; Mammalia; Rodentia; Chinchillidae.